GCCUCGAUAGCUCAGUUGAGAGCGUGAGACUGAAGAUCUGAAGGUCCCUGGUUCGAUCCCGGGUCGCGGCA
RNAcentral lists this transfer RNA (71 nucleotides) under Phytophthora infestans T30-4. It matches the Rfam family "tRNA". Rfam says of the family: Transfer RNA (tRNA) molecules are approximately 80 nucleotides in length. Lineage: Eukaryota; Oomycota; Peronosporomycetes; Peronosporales; Peronosporaceae. The record is from Rfam by way of RNAcentral.